GACGAACGCUGGCGGCGUGCCUAAUACAUGCAAGUCGAACGCAGUGGGGACGGGUGAGUAACACGUGGGUAACCUCCCAUCAGAGGGGAUAACACUUGGAAACAGGUGCUAAACCGAAAUUGAUAGAUGGACACGGGGUGCAUUAGCUAGUUGGUGGGGUAACGGCUCCACAAGGACACGAUGCAUAGCGGACCUGAGAGGGUGAUGGCCAACACGGGGACGGAGACACGGCCAAGACUCCUACGGGAGGCAGCAGUGGGGAAUCUGCGGAAAUGGACGAAAUUCUGACCGAGCAACGCCGCGGGAGUGAAGAAGGUUUUCGGAUCGUAAAGCUCUGUUGUUAGGGAGGCGGUAUCGAACCAGAAAGCCACGGCUAACUACGUGCCAGCAGCCGCGGUAAUAC
Molecule: ribosomal RNA, 403 nt
Filed under: uncultured bacterium
Lineage: Bacteria
Description: partial 16S ribosomal RNA
Rfam family: Bacterial small subunit ribosomal RNA
Source: RNAcentral